GUCCUGUAACUGGUUUUCACUCACUCAACUGAGAGAUUUCUUUGUUGCAAUGAUGGGGUCUAAGAUAACACUUCUGGAGGCUGCAGGCGAGAAACACAGCUGAUAUCAUCUUUUAUUGUGUGUUGUUAUUUGCCUAGCAUUAUAAAUUAAGGAGGAAUAGUAACAAAGAGCUUGAAGACAUGCACAGCUCACAGGCCCCGGGUGGAGGCUGGCGACAUCAGACAGACAGAACCAAGACAUCUGAGGGGCAACCAGGAGGUGCGUGUGGCUGCAGAGCACACAGACUUGUCUUUGGACAAAAUUGAGAAGAACUCAUAAACUUGGCUUCCUCGCUUCUGCUCCUCAGACGCGCGUGGAUGAUUUGAAGAUAUUAGCCUAACAAGAUGGAAGCAGGUUUAAAAUUUUACAUAAGAAGUUACCUUUUUCAGAUACAGUUAAGCUAAUGAUCUCGAGAGGAUAUCGUCCUGGAUAAGGGUGGAGCCUACGCCCAAAAACAAGAUUACCUGAAAGAGAAAAGAAAGGGGGAAAACACACAGAGAUACAGUCGGGGAGGCCACAUGAAGAUGGAGGCAGAGACAGGAGUGAUGAGCCUGCAAGCCAAGGAAUGCCAAGGGCUGCCAGCAGCCAUGAGAAGCUGAGAGACACAGAGAACGAGUCCUCUGCCAGAGCCUCCAGAAGGAACUAACCCUGUCAAUACCUUGAUUUCGGACUUCUGGACUCCAGAACUAUAACCCUCCUUCCUCCACCUCACAAAAACUCACAAGCUGCAACCCUUCUGAUGUCCACUCCCACACAAACCAGCUUCAGGCCUUUUUCAAGAGUGCAGGAAAUUCUACCCCCCAAGUAUGGCACCUUGGCAUGCUGAGUAUUUUAAGCUGAAGGAAACAGAGAAAACCACAGAAGCAGAAAGGUCUUUCUGACCUCUCUUGAAGACCCUCAUGUGACAGGUGUCCUGCCCUACAUCCAGAGAGAAGGAAUGUUCCACAGACAGACUAAGAAGAAUCUGAAGAAUCAGGCCUUACUAAGUGCCCUCCAGUGGAUGCUGUGGGGCACCACCUCCUUGAGGACCAAGGCACUCCAGCUGCCAGGAAUUUGGCUGCUAACCUCACACAGCUGAGCCUUCCAUGAAAAUUGCUCUCUGCCAAAGAGAACUUCCUAGUCCAAGGUCAUGUCUACUCUCCAGAGAUGUGACUGGAGUGAUUUGCACCCGGAUGCCUAGACUCGCCAUCUGCUCAAAGACUGCUCAGAAAGCCCUCCCAUGCAUUCCCCUGCUGCAUACCAGCCCACUCUGCCUGCAGCUGCUGUCUGCAGGACUUCAUAUCUAUGCCACACUGUGUAAAAGCUGUGCUUCAAGAAAUCACAAAAACAUUUUCCUGCACCUACUACACAGCCUGAGUGCGGCAUAAGUUGACCUUGCUUGCUAAGAAAUGGGGCAAGAAAUGCUUUUUUGUGUGUGUCAUGUCUGUUUGUUUUUCAAUUAAGAGAGGAAAGCAUUAGGCAGAUGGAAUGUACAUGUGAGGAUGAGGAGACAGAAAACAAGUAGCCCUUUCCAUCAAGAUAGAGGGUUUUCUGGGGUUGCUGGCUAUUGAAUGUCACUCCUGAUUUCUCUUUCCAAGGCACUGUACCACCAGCCUACUGAGAUUGUGUGGGAGCUUUCAUGGGGGUUGUAUUUCACUGAUGAAAAUAAAUUUUU
This is a long non-coding RNA of Homo sapiens (human), 1693 nucleotides long. Ensembl annotates it as mir-100-let-7a-2-mir-125b-1 cluster host gene. Its record names the gene MIR100HG. The record is from Ensembl. Lineage: Eukaryota; Metazoa; Chordata; Mammalia; Primates; Hominidae.